This 301-nucleotide ribosomal RNA is filed under the name uncultured bacterium. RNAcentral describes it as "partial 16S ribosomal RNA". It matches the Rfam family "Bacterial small subunit ribosomal RNA", at positions 509 to 807 of the family's 1533-position model. The record is from RNAcentral.
CAGCAGCCACGGUAACACGGAGGGAGCUAGCGUUGUUCGGAAUUACUGGGCGUAAAGCGCGCGUAGGCGGUUACUCAAGUCAGAGGUGAAAGCCCGGGGCUCAACCCCGGAACUGCCUUUGAAACUAGGUGACUAGAAUCUUGGAGAGGUCAGUGGAAUUCCGAGUGUAGAGGUGAAAUUCGUAGAUAUUCGGAAGAACACCAGUGGCGAAGGCGACUGACUGGACAAGUAUUGACGCUGAGGUGCGAAAGCGUGGGGAGCAAACAGGAUUAGAUACCCCUGUAGUCUCUGUCUCUUAUAC